Molecule: long non-coding RNA, 1276 nt
Organism: Zalophus californianus (California sea lion)
Lineage: Eukaryota; Metazoa; Chordata; Mammalia; Carnivora; Otariidae
Exons: 4
Source: RefSeq, a predicted model, not a curated record
ACCAACAUGACUGUGCAUUACUAGAAAUCCAGAACCUUCAGAACUCAGGAGAAAGCCUAGGCCAGCUGGAACUGCCGAGCAGGCCUCACAGGGGAAAUGACAGAUGAAUUUUGAAGGAGCAUACACGUGAUACGGAGGAGGAUAUCAGCAAAGAGACGGAAAUGAGCUCGUGUGUGGUUUGUUGAAAGUGGAGUGGAAUCUGGUCCGGCUAGAAUUUCUGGGGCACCGAAGGGGGCACAAACAAUGCGUCAUCGGCUUCUACUUGCCUAUCAGUAGCAGAGGCUUGAAAUGUCCUUUACCAGUAAAGUGAAAGAUGCAUGACACGCACUGAACACCGUGGGAGUGUUUGUAAAAUGAAUCCUUAACCCAGGUCUUCACGAGACAGACACGGAAAUGAAGGUUUUCUUCUGGAUACCCCAGAUCUUUGAUGAUGCCAGUGAGGAAACAUCCACACCCUUUGGUUAGACGGUGAAGCAUGAGGCUGUGGUUAUUUUCAUCAUUUACUCCAUGGAAGGUUGAAAGCUGUUAAGCAGAAUCAAUCUUAGGACAGAGAACGGUGGAACUCCGGAAGGUGCAACCUUACCAGCAUCUUGGUGGAUGCUUCCCGAUUGUAGCAUCCUUUUCAUCUUCAACUUAUAUUCCAAGCUGUUACCUAGAAUAAAUCCCACCAUUUCUAGCUAAUGCACGGUCUUUGUUUUGAAUGGAAAAGAGGGAAAAUAUAUUGAUCCCCUCUGGCAGCACAGGAGAUACGCCUAAAAUGGAAUAUCUUUCACCAUCAUGAAUAACAUUAAUCUUUACAGUUCUCCAAAGUAAAUAAUUACUGUAUAGUUGGCUUCCUAUUUAUAUGAAUUGACAGCAUCCUUUGAGUCUCCAGGUGACAGAAAUUCUCUCCAGAAACCAUUCUUAAGAUUAUUGUCAAAUUCCUUAAUGAGGAAUUAGAAGCUAAAGUGGCUAGCCUCUAGGUACAACCGGUUGGCAACAUGCUGAUCUUCUCCCUUCUGGAUUCUUCAGAGAGGGUUGAUGGAUAAAGCUCUGAAGAGCUGUUGAGCAUGCCAAGUCUUCUGGUGUGAGGGCAGCCACCAUGCCCCAGUCUAUGCUGAGCCUGUCUUGUGUAUUUCCAAGUACUCAGGUGGUUGGGGAACACAACAUUUCAGAUGAGGAAAUGACUUUGGUGAGCAUCACCUCAAGUAGCCACACUAUGUCCUUCUUUCAUUGAUCAUCAGACAAGAAUCCUCCGCAUGAAGCACCUGGGUGGCUCAGUCGUUAAGCGACUGCC